CAGCGGCCGAGGUAACACCAGCCCCUAGAGUGGUGGGGAUGAUUAUUGGGCCUGAAGCGUCCGUAGCCUGCCGUGUAAGUUUCCCGUUAAAUCCAGCGUCUCAAGCGUUGGACCGCGGGAAAUACUGUGCGGCUAGAGAGUGGGAGAGGUCAGCGGUAUUCUGGGGGUAGGGGCGAAAUCCUUUGAUCCCCGGAGGACCACCAGUGGCGAAGGCUGCUGACUAGAACACGCCUGACGGUGAGGGACGAAAGCUGGGGUAGCGAAUCGAAUUGGAUACCCGAGUAGUCCCAGCCGUAAACGAUGCAGGCUAGGUGUUGGGUUGGCCACGCGCCAGCUCAGUGCCACAGGGAAGCCAUUAAGCCUGCCGCCUGGGGAGUACGGCCGCAAGGCUGAAACUUAAAGGAAUUGGCGGGGGAGCAC
This 420-nucleotide ribosomal RNA is filed under the name uncultured Nitrososphaerota archaeon. RNAcentral's name for it is "bacterial SSU rRNA". It matches the Rfam family "Archaeal small subunit ribosomal RNA", at positions 459 to 879 of the family's 1478-position model. Lineage: Archaea; Thermoproteati; Nitrososphaerota. The record is from RNAcentral.